UAAGGGCGGGAGAGGGUCCCUAAGCCCGGAUUGCGAGAGGGCGCAGGCCAGGCCGAGGGACCCCACUGGUGCACG
Molecule: microRNA precursor, 75 nt
Filed under: Myotis brandtii (Brandt's bat)
Lineage: Eukaryota; Metazoa; Chordata; Mammalia; Chiroptera; Vespertilionidae
Description: mir-9193 microRNA precursor family
Rfam family: mir-9193 microRNA precursor family
Source: Rfam by way of RNAcentral